This 1455-nucleotide ribosomal RNA is filed under the name metagenome. RNAcentral's name for it is "bacterial SSU rRNA". It matches the Rfam family "Archaeal small subunit ribosomal RNA". The record is from RNAcentral.
UCCAGUUGAUCCUGCUGGAGACCACCGCUAUUGGUGUUCGAUUAAGCCAUGCACGUCAGGGCCGUCGGUAAGAUGGCCCGGCAGACAGCUCAGUAACACGUGGACAACCUACCCUUAGGAGGGGGAUAAUCUCGGGAAACUGAGGAUAAUACCCCAUAGGCGGCAGAUUCUGAAUGAUUGCUGCUUAAAUGCGCUAACCUAUAUCCCGGUUGGUAUUGCCUAAGGAUGGGUCUGCGGCGGAUUAGGCUGAUGUUAGGGUAACUGCCUAACAUACCUAAAAUCUGUACCGGCUAUGAGAGUAGGAGCCGGGAGAUGGAUACUGAGACAAGGAUCCAGGCUCUACGGAGCGCAGCAGGCGCGGAAACUCUGCAAUGCGCGCAAGCGUGACAGGGGAACACCAAGUGCCUCCCAUAAAGAGGCUUUUGAGGUAUGUAAAAAGUACCUAGAAUAAGGGGUGGGCAAGACUAGUGCCAGCCUCCGCGGUAAAACUAGCAACCCAAGUGGUGGUCGUUUUUAUUUGGCUUAAAGCGUCCGUAGUCGGAUAUGUAAGUUUCCUGUGAAAUCCUAGCGCUUAACGUUAGGGCUUGCAGGGAAUACUGCUUAUCUUGGAGCCGGGAGAGGUUGGGGGUAUUCCUGGGGUAGCGGCGAAAUGCUAUAAUCCUAGGAGGACCACCGACAGCGAAGGCACCCAACUAGAACGGGCUCGACGAUGAGGGACGAGAGCUAGGGGAGCAAACCGGAUUAGAUACCCGGGUAGUCCUAGCCGUAAACGAUGCAGGCUGUGUGUUCCCUGAACCUCGAGUUCAGGGAGUGCUGAAGGGAAACCGUUAAGCCUGCCGCCUGGGGAGUACGGUCGCAAGGCUGAAACUUAAAGGAAUUGGCGGGGGAGCACCACAAGGGGUGGAGUCUGCGGUUUAAUUGGAUACAACGCCGAGAAACUUACCAGGGGCGACGGCAGUAUGAAGGCCAGAUUAAAGUUCUUGCCGAACGAGCCGAGAGGUAGUGCAUGGCCGUCGUCAGCUCGUACCGUGAGGCGUGCGGUUAAGUCCGUUAACGAGCGAGACCCGUGCUUCUAUUUGCCACUUUCUCCGUAAGGAGGGAGGCACUAUAGAAGGACCGCUGGCGAUGAGUCAGAGGAAGGCGCGGUCGACGAUAGGUCUGUAUGCUCCGAAUCUCCUGGGCUACACGUGGACUACAAUGGCGUGGACAAUUGGAUGCGACGCCGAAAGGCGAAGCCAAUCCCCUAAACCACGUCUCAGUUCGGAUCGAGGGUUGAAAUUCACCCUCGUGAAGGUGAAAUCCCUAGUAAUCGCUGGUCACUAUCCAGCGGUGAAUAUGUCCCUGCUCCUUGCACACACCGCCCGUCAAACCAACCGAGUGGAAUUCGGACGAGGCUUUCUCUUUCGGGGGAGUCAAGUUCAAGUUUCGCGAGAGGGGUUAAGGCGUAACAAGGUA